CCUACGGGUGGCAGCAGUGGGGAAUAUUGCACAAUGGGGGAAACCCUGAUGCAGCGACGCCGCGUGAGUGAAGAAGUAUCUCGGUACGUAAAGCUCUAUCAGCAGGGAAGAAAAUGACGGUACCUGACUAAGAAGCCCCGGCUAACUACGUGCCAGCAGCCGCGGUAAUACGUAGGGGGCAAGCGUUAUCCGGAUUUACUGGGUGUAAAGGGAGCGUAGGUGGAUUGUUAAGUCAGUUGUGAAAGUUUGCGGCUCAACCGUAAAAUUGCAGUUGAAACUGGCAGUCUUGAGUACAGUAGAGGUGGGCGGAAUUCGUGGUGUAGCGGUGAAAUGCUUAGAUAUCGAGAGGAACACUCGUGGCGAAGGCGGGUUCCUGGACAUUAACUGACGCUGAGGCACGAAGGCCAGGGGAGCGAAAGGGAUUAGAUACCCUAGUAGUC
RNAcentral lists this ribosomal RNA (440 nucleotides) under uncultured bacterium. RNAcentral's name for it is "partial 16S ribosomal RNA". It matches the Rfam family "Bacterial small subunit ribosomal RNA", at positions 338 to 795 of the family's 1533-position model. The record is from RNAcentral.